CGUGUGGGCCUCUGUUGUGGUUGUAUCUGCUGCAGUGGGAACGAUCCGCGGGGCUGAGGAGAGAAGAGAGAAGAGCAGGGACAACGUUGACACGGCUGUAUCAGUGUGAGUGGAGCAGUUGUCCGUGAGUGACCACACGAGGGCGCUGUUCUCUCCUGUGGAGAGACAAACACUGCAGGUCACUGCAGGCUGACAGGGACUGACCGGUGUGACAGGUGCCAGUGGAGGUGGAGUUGGAGCAGGGACACGAUGCGCAGGCUCCGGUCAGGGCGGCUCCCGGGCUGCGGUAGAAAGCGGGCUUACACUCCUCACAGUUGGAUCCCUGGGUGUUGCCCUCACAGUUCAGACACACUCCUGAAAG
This is a long non-coding RNA of Scophthalmus maximus (turbot), 361 nucleotides long. RefSeq lists it as uncharacterized. The record is from RefSeq and is a predicted model, not a curated record. The transcript has 3 exons. NCBI's taxonomy places the organism in Eukaryota, Metazoa, Chordata, Actinopteri, Pleuronectiformes, Scophthalmidae.